AAAUACAAAUGAAAGAGAAAUAAGAACAACAACUCAAAAGCUCAAAAACUCAACAUCACUGAAACUGGAAACCAAGGAUAGGCAAACUCAUGCAGCAACCUGCUUCUCGAACCACUUUUUUAACCUUGCCUUCAUCCUCGCCUCUGGCUCCCAAGUCUCCUCUGUCACACCAUCGCAGUCCCACAAGAUUUUGAUCAAAGGAAUCUUCUUUCACCGAAGUUCCUUGAUCAUGCUCUCGAGAACCCUCACUGGUCUCGCCUCCAAAGUCAUGUUGGUCUGAAGAUCCUCUGUAGUCUUAGCCAACACCUCAUCAUCCUUGUGAAGACACUUCCUCAGCAUCGACACAUGAAAGACCCUGUGAAACGCACGCAUAACAUCAGGCAACUCUAACUUGUAUGCCACUAGUCCCACCCUCUCAACAAUCCUGAACGGACCCAUGUACCUCGGACUCAACUUAGUCUCUGAUAUAGACCUGUUCGGACCUCGCAACAUGGCCAUCUUGAGAUACACUUUGUCCCCAACCUCAAACUCAAGCUCUCUCCUCCUCUUGUCAGCAUAACUCCGUUGUCGAUCCUGAGCUUCCUUCAUGUUCAGCUUAGGAACCUGGAUCCUCUCUGUGGUCUCCUGAACAUAAUCUUCACCAUAUAUGCUCCUCUCCCCACUUGGGUCCAGCAUAACGGUGUCCUGCAUGGCCUCCCGUACAACGCCUCAAAAGGAGCCAUCCCAAUACUCGCCUGAUAGCUGUUGUUAUAAGCAAACUCUACCAGACUCAAGUGAUCCGCCCAAUGACCUCCCCAAUCCAAGACACACAUCCGCAACAUAUCCUCAAGCAUCUGAAUAGUCCUCUCAGAUUGCCCAUUUGUCUGUGGAUGAUAAGCCGUGAUCAUCUGCACCUUAGUGCCCAUCUCUGCCUGAAAAGCUCUCCAAAAUGCAGAAGUAAACUUGGAAUCCCUGUCUGACACAAUACUCACAUGUACUCCAUGCAACUUCACGAUCUCGCUCACAUAUUUCUUAGCAAACACCGCUGCUCCAUCGGUUUUUGUAAUGGCCAGAAAAUGUGCUGACUUAGUCAUACGAUCCACGAUCACCCAGAUAGCAUCUUUGGUCCGCGACACAGGCAACCCAACCACGAAAUUCAUCGUGAUAAAAUCCCACUUCCACACAGGAAUGGGUAAACUCUCCAACAGGCCACCCGGCACCUGAUGCUCAGCCUUAACUAACUGGCAAACAUCGCAUUCUGCGACCCAAUUAGCUACAUCCCUCAUCAUCCCGACCCACUGAUAGUACCGCUUGAGGUCUCGGUACAUCUUAGUCGCUCCUGGAUGAAUGAAAAACAUGCUCGCAUGAGCCUCACUCAAGAUCUCUCGUCGCAACUCCUCAUCCUUAGGCACACAAACUCGCCCAUGCACAAGAAUAGUCCCAUUAGCUGCAAACUGAUACUCAGAGCCCUCUGCCUUAGAAGCCGCAAUCAAUCCCUCAUCCUUCUCCUGAGCCAACCGAACUCUAGUCUGAAGAUCUGCUCGAUCCACAGCUUCCAUUCCCAAUGGCUCUCGUGCCACAGCACACAACCGCAAAGCAUCAAUCUCACUCACCAAGGCCUCAACACUCUGCCCUGUAGCCGCACCCACGCGCUUACGGCUCAACGCGUCUGCAACCACAUUAGCCUUCCCAUGAUGGUAGGCUAUCUCCAGAUCAUAAUCACCCACCAGCUCCAUCCAUCGCCUCUGCCUCAGGUUCAGCUCUGGCUGAGUGAAGAUGUACUUCAAACUCUUAUAAUCCGUGAACACCUGCACUUUCCUGCCAUAAAGAUAAGACCUCCAAAUCUUCAAGGCAAAGAUUACCGCAGCCAUCUCCAAAUCGUGAGUAGGAUAGUUGCCCUCAUGCUUCCUCAACUACCGCGAUGCAUAGGCAAUAACCUUCCAUGCUCUGGCAAUUCUAACACUGGUGUACUCGUCAACAUCUCCUUCAGACUCACGAAACUUUUCUCGCACUCCGGUGACCACACAAAAGGAACAUCCUUCCCUUUCAGCUUAGUCAUCGGCUGUGCCAUACUCGCAAACCCCUUGAUGAACCUCCUGUAAUACCCUGCCAACCCAAGAAAAUUCCUGAUCUCAGUGGCAUUCGUCGGUCUAGGCCAAUCUCUGAUAGCCUCAAUCUUCUCUAGAUCUACUGAAACUCCCUCUACAGAAACAAUGUGACCCAGAAAACCCAUCUCUCUCUGCCAGAAACUGCACUUGCUCAACUUAGCGAACAGCUUCAGCUCCCGCAGUUUCUCCAUCACUCUCCUUAGAUAAACCUCAUGCUCCUCAAGACUCUUAGAAUACACCAGGAUGUCAUCAAUAAAGAUGAUCACAAACUCAUCCAGAAACUCCUGGAACACGCUGUUCAUCAACCUCAUGAACGCUGCAGGUGCAUUAGUCAAACCGAAAGGCAUGACCAUGAACUCAAAAUAUCCAUAUCUCGUCCUGAAAGCAGUCUUGCAAACAUCUGUCUCUGCUAUCGGGAUCUGGUGAUAACCCGACAUCAAAUCGAUUUUAGAGAAACAAGUAGCACCCCUCAACUGAUCCAACAACUCAUCGAUCCUUGGCAAAGGGUACCUGUUUUUUCACAGUAACCCGGUUCAACCCCCGGUAGUCAAUACAUAAGCAGAAACUCCCGUCUUUCUUCUUCACAAAUAACACCGGCGUUCCCCAAGGUGAAGUACUAGGACGAAUGAAUUCCUUACCCAACAAAUCCUCUAGCUGCUUCUUCAACUCUGCCAUCUCUGCUGGAGCCAUCCUGUAGGGUGCCUUAGACAACGGCGAUGUCCCUGGUUCCAACUCAAUCGUGAAAGGAUCAGACCGUCAUGGUGGUAAUCCCUGCAACGAUCGAAACACAUCCUCGAACUCCUGAACAACCCGAAUAUCGCUCACAGCUACCUGCCCCACAGACUCCGGCAUAGAUAUCAUCACCAGGUAAGCCUCGCAGCCCUUCUCGAUCAUUUUCUCUUCCUGCACUACUGAGAUGACGAGACUCCUUGAGGUACGUCUCACUCCCUGAUAAACCAACCUCCCCUCUAGCCGCUCAAAAGAAACUCUCCCACGGUGGGAGUCAAGAUGUACUCUGUAAUGAUCCAACCAAUCCAUUUCCAGAAUAACAUCAUACAACUCUACAGGGCUGAUAAUCAAAUCUGCUGGCAUCGACUCCCCUGCAAUCUAAAUAUCCACACCCUUCGCUCUCCCCAUAACCGCUAGAAACUGCCCUCCUGCAACCUUGACGGCUCCAAACUGCUCACCAGGAUCCCCACGGUUGUUGCCGCGCGAGGCACUUUUUCCGGUGUAAUGAAGCAAUGCGAUGCUCCAGAGUCAAACAACACAUGGGCCUCUACACCGCCCACUAAUAAGGUCCCUACAAAAACCUUAUGUGCUAAGAAUCCUAACAUUCAUCACAAAACAAUGAUUUCCAAAACAACAGAAAUAAUUCACAAUGUCUGAGUCUAAGAAAUCAUACCAGUGAUCGCUCUGUUGCUGAUACUGCUUAUCUCACGCGUAGUGUAGCCUUGUGGUGCCGCUACAAUCUGUGCUAACUGCUGCACUCCCUGCUGCACCGCCGGCUGUACUACUGCCACUGCCAUCGGCUGCAAUUUAGGACAAUUCGGCCUGAGAUGUCCCCUCUCCUUGCAGUGGUAGCACUCUCUUGUCUCAGCUCGCUGCGUGCAAUCCGCUACCUUGUGGUCAAGGCUCCCACAAGAAAAACAUCUUGCACGACCACCCUGUCCAGCUCUGGAAGGAUGAUCCCACUUCCUCUUCUGCCCCUGCUCAGGCUUACCGCCCUUGCUAGGUGCCACCUGCUGCUGAGUCUUCUUUGGCUGUACCGCUGGACUCACUGCCACCACCUGCCUCUGAAGGUCCUCCUCUACCUCAGCAGCCGUCUCCACCAGUGCCACCUUCGUGGCGUACUACAACACUCUACACCGCACCCUUAAAUCCGGUCGAAGUCCCCUCAAGAACCUCCUCAUCUGGGCCUGGUUAUCCUCCAUGCCCCGACCCGCAUACACCAAGUGUUGGUUAAACUCCCAGUCAUACUCCCGAACCGACCGCUCACCAUGUGUCAGCUCAAGAAAACGCUCCUUUAUACGGUCGAGCGCCUCCUGCGGAAAGUACUUGGCAUUAAACUCAGCCACGAAAUCUGUCCAAGAUAUAUCCGCCUGCCUCCUCCUGGUAGUCAUACUCCGCCACCAUAAAUGUACAUCCCCCUCUAGAAAAUGCACUACCAGAUCCACCCGAUAGUCCGCAGGGCAUCUCCUCGAACCGAAGUUCCACUCAACCCGCGACCUCCAACUGUCGGCCUCCUCAGGACUAGUACUACCAAAAAAAUACUCGCUGCCAAUCCUCUGCAACUGCUCCAUCAUCCUCAAAUAAGAUGGAACCUCAUCAGCAACCGCAGCCCUCUACUGCACCUCUGCCACUCAUGGCGCAACUGGAGCCUCCACUGGUACCACGUAUGGUAACCGCUCAAACAAUUGCCUCAGCAUGCCCGCCAAACCAACGUCUGGAACCUGGGCUCCUCCGGUUGCGGUACCCAUCACUCUUGGGCUCUCAGCACCAACGGCAUGCACACCGACACCGACACCUGCUCCACCAGCCCCCACUCCGGCUGCACCAGCUAGAUCGGCACCAAAACCGUCCCCAACCCCGGGCUCCACAAACUCAGCCUGCAAACCCACACUCUGCUCAACCGUGGCACUGUGGCCAUCACUCUCGCCGGUACCCUCGAGGACUCGUCCUCUUUUUAUCACGAAACUGCAAAUAACUCAUUCAAUUUUAAUCCAAAUCCAAUUCUGUAAACUGGAGAAUAACGAUAAAGGACUUGGGAAUAACUCUACCAAAUUUCGUUACCUUUGACCACGAUUUGAUAUGACGAAACUGAUUUCUCCUAUACCCUAACGAUUCUGCUCCUUCUCCUUCUCUCUCUUUUUCUCUUUUAUAAAACGAAAGUGGCUAAUUAAAGCCCUAAUUUAGAGUUUCCUUCUUUUAUAGGCACACUCUAAGGUUUCCAAUUAACUAAACCAAUUAAAUCAGACGAUUUAAAUACAAACUCUAACCAAUUUUCCGGUUCACGGGCGUUACACUAAUCGAAAUCGAUCACGAAACCCUCAUUCCCCAUAUUGAAUUCCUCCAAAUGAACCACUCUAUAAACCCUAAUGUUCUUCCCCAAAUCGAUUUUUCCCCCAAAUCUAUUUUAUCUCCAAAUCUAUUUUUUCAAUGCCAUGUCGUUUUUGUUAUAUUAAACGGCACAAAACUAAUGAAAUCAUACCGUUUUUAGCGAUGCCAUGUCAUUGAUAUGACGGAAGAUUAUUUAGCGGGUGACUUUAAAAUUGAUGUGGUUGACUUGCAUAGUUGGGACAUGGAUGGUAGAUUCGCAAACGAGAUCGACUUCGAGGUUUUUUUUUGCAGAAAACCCUUAUUAAAAAAAACAAAGCCUAUCAACGAAAUUACAUGUUUUCUUACUCUAUCAUAAUUUAGCCUUAUUUGUAUUAAAUUUUAUAAUCAUAGUAACAUAGACAUAUACAGGGGCGGAUCCAUGUAGGGAAAAGAGGAGCAGCUGCCCCGGGUAAAUUAUCAAAUUUCUAGAUUUUCAUUGAUUUUAAUAAAGAUUUGUUAGCUUAAAUGGAAAUUUGAACCAACUUUCCCCCUAUAAACUCAAAAUCAAAUCCCAUAAUGCCCUUUUAAUUUUUUUCAUUUAUUCUUUUCUUUCCUUUUUUUUUAUUAACUUCCCUAAAUUUUAGCUUUUAUUGUUUAUUUUUCCUCUAAUAUAAACGUCUCAUUUCCAGAUUUUAUAUAAUUUCCAAUUUGUUUAGAUUUGUUUUUUCUUUAUUUAUUUAUUUAGUUUUCUCUCAAAAUCUUUUUAUUGUUGCAUUUUAUUGGUUUAUUUCUAAAAUUUUUGUUUUUUGUUAUUCGAAAAGUUAUACAUAUUCUCUAACUAAUAUAUUUUCCCAGAAUUAAUUUAUUUUAAUAACUUACGACAUAUAAUAUCAUCUCUAACCUAUUUAGAAAUAUAAAUAACAAUAAUAAAGUAACAAUAUUAAAAAGUACAUAAUAAAUUAUUUUUAUCUUUAAAAGUCGAUAUAAUAUUUUGCCCCUGG
RNAcentral lists this small RNA (6124 nucleotides) under Arabidopsis thaliana (thale cress). Its description in RNAcentral is "ATSL095820". Lineage: Eukaryota; Viridiplantae; Streptophyta; Magnoliopsida; Brassicales; Brassicaceae. The record is from RNAcentral.